Oreochromis aureus is the source of this 1503-nucleotide long non-coding RNA. RefSeq lists it as uncharacterized. The record is from RefSeq and is a predicted model, not a curated record. Lineage: Eukaryota; Metazoa; Chordata; Actinopteri; Cichliformes; Cichlidae. The transcript has 8 exons.
CUCUGUUUCGCUGUUUUUCUCAAAGGCUUUGCAUUUGAAGAGGUACAAACAGCAGCUAGGGUGGAACAUUUUCACCUGACACAUACCUGACAGCAACUUUUCUCACUGGCAGAGCUGUUGGCGGACACGCCUGUGCAUCAAAGCUCCCGAUCGGCAAAGGCCGGAGAGAGAAGGGCGCCGGAGAAGCAUGCGGGACUGCGGUCCACUAAACCCGGCGAGAAACGGAAAGAACUUUAGAAAUGGCCCUCCAGGAAUCUGCUGACGCGUGAGUCAUUAAGUCUCUGGUAGAGAUGCUUUGGAAGUGUCAGUGUUAGCCUGUUAAUGAGGCACGAGUCGGUGUGAAGGACUUUUGGAGGCUGGAGCUGGUGCUGCUGUGGAACCAAAGAAAACCUGCAGCUGUUCAACAUCAGCCAGUUGUUAAUCACAGGGGCAGGAGUGGAACCAGACUCCUGAGGCGCGGCCGUGACGCUGACUCAGAGUGAUGUUAAAGAUGAGUGAAUACACCCCAACCCAGCACCAGAGCCUGAACAGAAGGCGUCCUGCUUGCCGUGGCGCUGGACAGGAGCUCGCUGAGGGGGCACUCCUGGCACAACCUCCCUUUGUGUGAAGAUGCACCAGCACUGCUGCCCGGUCAAAGUCUUCAAAAUCAUGAGCAACCUCAAACUGUCACCGUGUAAAACUGGCUUGACACCAAGACACUCACCACUAAGCAUGCGCAGCAGGUGCUGUGGUGGAGGGACUAGAUUCAGGUGAAACGCUCAGCCGGCUUUUAAACCUGCAGCUCUGGCUUUACCUGAUCAUUUUUUCCAAAUUUAGGUUACUUUGACUGCCAACAUUAAGACCUCCCACACUACACAAAGGGGGUGGUUUGGGAGGGGCUGUAGCACAUAGCCUAACAGGACGCUGCCCAGGAGGACGCAGAGACAGCGUGAUGGAGGCUGGACUGGGUUCUGCUGUGUACCUGAGUUCAUCACAGGGGCGGAGGGCUUCUACCAGUAGCGAGUCAGACAGGAGCUGAAGUGGAGCGUCGAUGUGGAGAGUAGGUCUGUGUACACACAGGGUCUGUGAUAGACUUAUGGAGGAUGAAGCUGGUACUGCUAUGGACCCAAGAAAACCUCCAGCUGUUCAACAGCAGCUAGCAGUUCAUCAUGGACAGGAGCUGAAGUGGAACUGGGUUCUGAAGCUGGAGGGGAAGGCUGGAGGAAACGUGACUGUCAACCUCGUCACCAAAGUCACAAUUAGUGAGUUCCAAGGUUGGUUACUUUUAAUUUAAGAUAAGAUAACCUUUAUUAGUCCCACACAUGGGAAAUUUAUUUUGUUACAGCAGAAAGUGGACAGUGCAAAGUUACAUAGCAAAAAUUAGAAAAACACUGGAAUAGGAUAAAAAUAACAUACUGUACACAACUAAAAUAGAAUACAAAUACUAUAUACAACUGAGUAAGAUACAACAUUGUCAAAACAAGAGUAUUGCCCUUAGUGUUAUUGCUAUUGCACAUGUGUGGA